GAUGAAGAACGCAGCGAAAUGCGAUAAGUAAUGUGAAUUGCAGAAUUCAGUGAAUCAUCGAAUCUUUGAACGCACAUUGCGCCCGCUGGUAUUCCGGCGGGCAUGCCUGUUCGAGCGUCAUUUCAACCCUCAAGCCCCCGGGUUUGGUGUUGGGGAUCGGCGCUGCCCUUCUGGGCGGUGCCGCCCCCGAAAUACAUUGGCGGUCUCGCUGCAGCCUCCAUUGCGUAGUAGCUAACACCUCGCAACUGGAACGCGGCGCGGCCAUGCCGUAAAACCCCAACUUCUGAAUGUUGACCUCGGAUCAGGUAGGAAUACCCGCUGAACUUAAGCAUAUCAAUAAGCGGAGGA
RNAcentral lists this unclassified non-coding RNA (348 nucleotides) under soil metagenome. Its description in RNAcentral is "partial contains 5.8S ribosomal RNA, internal transcribed spacer 2, and large subunit ribosomal RNA". The stretch from base 1 to 120 matches the Rfam family "5.8S ribosomal RNA", at positions 35 to 154 of the family's 154-position model. The record is from RNAcentral.